Molecule: ribosomal RNA, 440 nt
Filed under: uncultured bacterium
Lineage: Bacteria
Description: partial 16S ribosomal RNA
Rfam family: Bacterial small subunit ribosomal RNA
Source: RNAcentral
GCUACGGGUGGCAGCAGUGGGGAAUAUUGCACAAUGGGGGAAACCCUGAUGCAGCGACGCCGCGUGAGUGAGGAAGGAGUUCGGUAUGUAAAGCUCUAUCAGCAGGGAAGAAAAUGACGGUACCUGACUAAGAAGCCCCGGCGAACGACGGGCCAGCAGCCGCGGUAAUACGGAGGGGGCAAGCGUUAUCCGGAUUUACUGGGGGUAAAGGGAGCGUAGCCGGUUACUCAAGUCAGAAGGGAAAACCCAGGGCUCAACCUUGGGACUGCUUUUGAAACUGAGUAGCUAGAGUGCAGGAUGGGUAAGCGGAAUUCCUAGUGUAGCGGUGAAAUGCGUAGAUAUUAGGCGGAACACCAGUGGCGAAGGCGGCUUACUGGACUGUACCUGACGUUGAGGCUCGACAGCGUGGGUAGCAAACAGGAUUAGAUACCCUGGUAGUC